ACCUCUCACCUUUGACGGUUUCUAAUGACCGUUCAAAUGCGUGGAUUUGGGUGUCUGCCUGGUGAACAACCUUAUGGCUCGCCUUAAAAGUAUUAGCUCGGUUCUAGUUCCAUGGCCUGAGGCGUAAUAAGUUAUUCGUCUCGCGACUUGAUGGUGUAGCCUGCUUCUAAAUCAUUACACUUUUUUGAA
This 189-nucleotide unclassified non-coding RNA is filed under the name uncultured Bullera. Its description in RNAcentral is "sequence contains ITS2". Lineage: Eukaryota; Fungi; Basidiomycota; Tremellomycetes; Tremellales. The record is from RNAcentral.